GACGAACGCUGGCGGCGUGCUUAACACAUGCAGGUCGAACGAUGAAGCCGGAGCUUGCUCCGGUGGAUUAGUGGCGAACGGGUGAGUAACACGUGAGCAAUCUGCCCUUGACUCUGGGAUAACUGCGGGAAACUGUAGCUAAUACCGGAUACGACACCUUGGGGCAUCCCAGGGUGUGGAAAGAAUUUCGGUCAAGGAUGAGCUCGCGGCCUAUCAGCUAGUUGGUGAGGUAAUGGCUCACCAAGGCGACGACGGGUAGCCGGCCUGAGAGGGUGACCGGCCACCCUGGAACUGAGACACGGUCCAGACUCCUACGGGAGGCAGCAGUGGGGAAUAUUGCACAAUGGGCGAAAGCCUGAUGCAGCAAGGCCGCGUGAGGGAUGAAGGCCUUCGGGUUGUAAACCUCUUUUAGCAGGGAAGAAGCGAAAGUGACGGUACCUGCAGAAAAAGCACCGGCUAACUACGUGCCAGCCGCCGCCGUAA
Molecule: ribosomal RNA, 483 nt
Filed under: uncultured bacterium
Lineage: Bacteria
Description: partial 16S ribosomal RNA
Rfam family: Bacterial small subunit ribosomal RNA
Source: RNAcentral